Molecule: ribosomal RNA, 253 nt
Filed under: uncultured bacterium
Lineage: Bacteria
Description: partial 16S ribosomal RNA
Rfam family: Bacterial small subunit ribosomal RNA
Source: RNAcentral
UACAGAGGUCUCAAGCGUUGUUCGGAUUCAUUGGGCGUAAAGGGUGCGUAGGCGGCGGGGCAAGUCGGAUGUGAAAUCUCAGGGCUCAACCCUGAAACUGCAUUCGAUACUGCCUUGCUCGAGGACUGGAGAGGAGAUUGGAAUUCACGGUGUAGCAGUGAAAUGCGUAGAUGUCGUGAGGAAGACCAGUGGCGAAGGCGGAUCUCUGGACAGUUCCUGACGCUGAGGCACGAAGGCCAGGGGAGCAAACGGG